RNAcentral lists this transfer RNA (28 nucleotides) under Trimeresurus insularis (White-lipped island pitviper). RNAcentral's name for it is "partial tRNA-Leu". Lineage: Eukaryota; Metazoa; Chordata; Lepidosauria; Squamata; Viperidae. The record is from RNAcentral.
UCUAUCAAAGGAAAAAAGCUCUCCACUG